GGGUUGUGAGGUUAAGCGACUAAGCGUACACGGUGGAUGCCCUGGCAGUCAGAGGCGAUGAAGGGCGUGCUAAUCUGCGAUAAGCGCCGGUAAGGUGAUAUGAACCGUUAUAACCGGCGAUACCCGAAUGGGGAAACCCAGUGUGACUCGUCACACUAUCAUUAACUGAAUCCAUAGGUUAAUGAGGCGAACCGGGGGAACUGAAACAUCUAAGUACCCCGAGGAAAAGAAAUCAACCGAGAUUCCCCCAGUAGCGGCGAGCGAACGGGGAGGAGCCCAGAGCCUGAAUCAGCAUAUGUGUUAGUGGAAGCGUCUGGAAAGGCGCGCGAUACAGGGUGACAGCCCCGUACACAAAAGCGCAUGUGCUGUGAGCUCGAUGAGUAGGGCGGGACACGUGGUAUCCUGUCUGAAUAUGGGGGGACCAUCCUCCAAGGCUAAAUACUCCUGACUGACCGAUAGUGAACCAGUACCGUGAGGGAAAGGCGAAAAGAACCCCGGCGAGGGGAGUGAAAAAGAACCUGAAACCGUGUACGUACAAGCAGUGGGAGC
This 549-nucleotide ribosomal RNA is filed under the name Salmonella enterica. Its description in RNAcentral is "bacterial LSU rRNA". It matches the Rfam family "Bacterial large subunit ribosomal RNA", at positions 1 to 580 of the family's 2925-position model. Lineage: Bacteria; Pseudomonadati; Pseudomonadota; Gammaproteobacteria; Enterobacterales; Enterobacteriaceae. The record is from RNAcentral.